Molecule: ribosomal RNA, 426 nt
Filed under: uncultured bacterium
Lineage: Bacteria
Description: partial 16S ribosomal RNA
Rfam family: Bacterial small subunit ribosomal RNA
Source: RNAcentral
GUGAGGAAUUUUCCGCAAUGGGCGAAAGCCUGACGGAGCAAUGCCGCGUGAAGGAUGAAGGCCUAUGGGUUGUAAACUUCUUUUCUCAGAAAAGAAUUAUGACGGUAUCUGAGGAAUAAGCAUCGGCUAACUCUGUGCCAGCAGCCGCGGUAAGACAGAGGAUGCAAGCGUUAUCCGGAAUGAUUGGGCGUAAAGCGUCUGUAGGUUGUUUAAAAAGUAUUCUGUCAAAGAUUAGGGCUUAACCCUAGAUAGGCAGAAUAAACUUUUAAGCUAGAGUUUGGUAGAGGCAGAGGGAAUUCCCGGUGGAGCGGUGAAAUGCGUAGAUAGCGGGAGGAACACCAAAGGCGAAGGCACUCUGCUGGGCCAAUACUAACACUGAGAGACGAAAGCGAGGGGAGCAAAUGGGAUUAGAUACCCCGGUAGUCC